Long non-coding RNA from Hyposmocoma kahamanoa, 559 nucleotides. RefSeq lists it as uncharacterized. NCBI's taxonomy places the organism in Eukaryota, Metazoa, Arthropoda, Insecta, Lepidoptera, Cosmopterigidae. The record is from RefSeq and is a predicted model, not a curated record. The transcript is spliced from 3 exons.
UGUCGCUGUCACGAAGUUGUUAUUCUUUACCAGCUGAUUUGUUUAUUUCGUAAAAAUAAAUAUAACACGUAAAAAAUAGUACCUAACUGACCAUUAUUGUGUGGUGAUGUGGUAGAUUGAUUUUAAUAGACAUUUAAACAGUUUUGGAUUCCCAGAAUCCUUUGUUUUUCGGAUUUUGGUGAAUAAAACUGCGUCAUAAGUAUUGCGGCAAUCUUGCAGUUUGGAAAUACGUCACUAAAGGCGUCAUCUGUUCCGUAAAAAUGGACGAGCAACAAGAACAGAACAUUAAAACCUAAAAAACAAUAAUAGAAAAGAACCUGUUAUUUUAACAAUCUGUGAUUUUAAAAUACGUAUAAUUGAUCUCUUAUUUUAAGUUUUAAUAGUGUUCAGAAACAGAACUAAAUACUAGCACCUUGAAUUGACAUUAAAAAUAGUAAAAGAGAUUUAUAGCAGCUUAACAAGGUCGUAUAAAGUUAUACGUCAAACAAACUAAAGUGAAAUUUAUCCUAUAUGAAUUAUAAAUAGAACUUAUAAGCGUAAAUGUUAUUAUGAAACACAU